AAGGCCCCUUAAGCGUACGCUAAGUGGGAAAGGAUGUGGAGUCGCAGAGACAACCAGGAGGUUGGCUUAGAAGCAGCCACCCUUGAAAGAGUGCGUAAUAGCUCACUGGUCAAGUGAUUCCGCGCCGACAAUGUAGCGGGGCUCAAGCGUACCGCCGAAGUCGUGUCAUUCACACAUAUAYNCCCCAACGNGGDGUUKGGAUGGGUAGGGGAGCGUCGUGUGCCGGGUGAAGCAGCCGCGGAAGCGAGUUGUGGACGGUUCACGAGUGAGAAUGCAGGCAUGAGUAGCGAUACACACGUGAGAAACGUGUGCGCCGAUUGACUAAGGGUUCCUGGGUCAAGCUGAUCUGCCCAGGGUAAGUCGGGACCUAAGGCGAGGCCGACAGGCGUAGUCGAUGGACAACCGGUUGAUAUUCCGGUACCCGCUUUGAAACGCCCAAUACUGAAUCAGGCGAUGCUAAGUCCGUGAAGCCGGCCCGAUCUCUUCGGAGUUGAGGGUAGUGGUGGAGCCGACGAACCAGACUUGUACUAGGUAAGCGAUGGGGUGACGCAGGAAGGUAGUCCAGCCCGGGCGGUGGUUGUCCCGGGGUAAGGGUGUAGGACGCACGGUAGGCAAAUCCGUCGUGCAURKAAGUCUGAGACCUGAUGCCGAGCCGAUUGUGGUGAAGUGGAUGAUCCUAUGCUGUCGAGAAAAGCCUCUAGCGAGUUUCAUGGCGGCCCGUACCCUAAACCGACUCAGGUAGUCAGGUAGAGAAUACCGAGGCGUUCGGGUGAACUAUGGUUAAGGAACUCGGCAAAAUGCCCCCGUAACUUCGGGAGAAGGGGGGCCAUCACUGGUGAUCCGAUUUACUCGGUGAGCUGGGGGUGGCCGCAGAGACCAGCGAGAAGCGACUGUUUACUAAAAACACAGGUCCGUGCGAAGCCGUAAGGCGAUGUAUACGGACUGACGCCUGCCCGGUGCUGGAACGUUAAGGGGAACCGGUUAGCUGACUUUCGGGUGG
Molecule: ribosomal RNA, 1000 nt
Filed under: Streptomyces pratensis
Lineage: Bacteria; Bacillati; Actinomycetota; Actinomycetes; Kitasatosporales; Streptomycetaceae
Description: partial 23S ribosomal RNA
Source: RNAcentral